UACUACGUCUGUGCAAAAGCAGACAACAAAUGUCUUUCCGGAAAUUGCUCGCACAUGGUAGAUGGGUCGUGUUUUGGUUCCUUUCGUACUCGAUGUGAUGCCAUGAAACGGGCAGGGUCACCUGUUCAAGAUGUGGAGAAAGUUGCUAAAAUUGAAGAAGAGGCGACAGCUGAAGAGGAGGUGACAGUAAGUGCUGGCGAAGAUCUCCAGAUUUCAACAAUAGUAGAAGGUGGUGAAGAGGAAGUGGGGGAGCAAGUUGUACAGUUGUACGAGAUCCAGCAGGCUGAAGUUGACGGUGGAGAGGAGACAGAGCUGUCCACCAUAGAACAACAGGUGGAAGAUAUGGAGAAUGUCACUGUCACUUCAGAUGAACAGACAAGUGUGGACACAGAUGGCAAUGUCAUCCAGUUACAACCAGUACAACAAGUCCAGAACAUCAUAGUUCAACACAUGGAUAUCUCUGACCCUCUUAAUGUACUGAGGCACCUGUUGGAGGCCAAAUUACAGUGCACGCUGGCAGAACACGAGUUUUACCUACAGGACAGUUUACUGUUAAAUCCUGAGAAGAACCUGGUGGAGCAGUGUGUACAGGGAGAAGGCAUGGUCCAGAUUAAUGUGGAAGUGAAAUCUCAGCCAGGCAUCAAACCAAGGAUUAAUAUUGUUGAUAUACUGAAACCAGCAGAGGAGGUAGUUGUACAACAGCCCACCACAGUGCCCGCGCAAGCUGCAAAUGUCACCAAGGUGGUGAUUCCUUUCCCAGAGGAGUCUGAACAUGUCACCAGGUGGAUUGUGGACCAGAAUUUCAGGAGGGAACAAGAGAGGCUGAAAAUACCAUUUGAUCCCUCUCACUGGAAUCAAGCCCACGUUAAACACUGGAUUCAGUGGGCAAUCAAGGAGUUUGGUCUGGACAACGUGGACAUAGAGAACUUCAAUGUGACAGGACAAGAACUGUGUGACAUGUCCCAUCCAGACUUCUCCAAGCUGAUCCCCAAUGACAAGGGGGACCUGUUCUGGACACAUCUGGAGCUGCUCAGGAAGUGUAAAUUUGUGGCUGUAGUUCAGCAGCCAACUCCUCAUGCUAUCACCACAGUAACAGUGUCAACAUCAGGGGACCUGGCAGGGGGCGGGGUAGCCAGGAAAGUCCACAAGCAAUCUCGGGCUCCCAGGAUAGGGGAGGGCUGGUCCCCAGGGAACAGGACAGGCAACAAUGGCCAGAUACAGCUGUGGCAAUUUUUACUGGAGCUUCUAACAGACAAAGAUUGCAGAGAAGUGAUCCAAUGGGUUGGAGAUAAUGGAGAGUUCAAGCUGAACAACCCAGAGAUGGUGGCCCAGAUGUGGGGUCAGAGGAAAAAUAAGCCCACCAUGAAUUAUGAGAAACUUAGCCGUGCUCUACGAUAUUACUAUGAUGGAGAUAUGAUCGCCAAGGUCCAUGGAAAGAGGUUUGUGUAUAAAUUUGUCUGUGAUCUGAAGAUGCUGCUGGGUUAUUCGGCGGCCGAGCUGAACAAAUUAGUGUCCGAGUGUGCUGAGAAGAAAUUACAGAAAGUCAGAGAACAGCUACGACCAGGAAUUAUCAGAAAAGUGAACAUUGCAGGUGGUGAUGCCAAGUCACCUUCUUGAAAAAAAAAAACAGUACUGCUUAACACUGCACGUGAAAAGUUGCUAUGGUAAGGCAGUGUAUUCUUACUAAGACAGACUACAGCAUUCAUUAUCCAACUGCUAUGUAGUUGUUAUCUAUGUAAAAAUACUUUGCCAGCACUUCAAGAAUUCUCUUACUCAUACUUGGUUCACUUGGAAAGUGUAGUAAGUUAUGUGUGUUUUGAUAGCACACAUAUUCAGUACGUGGACACUGCCAGGUUGUUAGGGAUGUGAUUUUUUGUUAAAAAUUACCUGAUUUCAAAAAAAUUUAUAUGCCAACCAAAAAGUCUUGCAGGUAUUGUGGACAUUUGCUGAUGUCAGGGGCUUUUUUUAACCAUGUCAUGUCUCACACAGUGCAGUUUGCCUUCAUUUAUCUUAUUGCUUUCUAUACUAUCAAUUUGAGACAUUGAAGUAAAGUUACAGGUUUGGAAGGCAGGUCAUUAGUGAAGAUCAAGUGAUGAUGAUAUAGAAUUUCCAACGCUGCUGUUAGAUUUCAGCAAAGUAUUAGACAGAAAAAAGUUAUGGAUACAGUUCAAUCAGGGGUCAAUUUUACAUAACUUCUGACUGACAAUUUUGGGUGUACUUCAUUUAGUAGCAAAGUAGAAGUCUAAGAGAGUUUUGGUCUUGAAUAUUAGCGGUUUAUUUUGGCUCAAAGUAGACCAAAUUCUGAUCUUAAUUUUUGGACCAAAUUUUUAGGUCUUAAGUUCUCUUGUGAAAUCAGCUUUCAGGGCUGCAAUGAGGAAACUAAAGGAAGUGCUGUUUGAAGAGUUUUAGAGAAAUAUAAAUAUUUUUCAAUUUUUAGAACUUGGUUUAGUUUCACAUAGUUUGAUGGAUUUUCCCCAAGAUGAAUGUUAUAAAAGUUGGAUCAUGGUGUAAUGCAUUUAAUCACCAUGGUAUAUCUUGUAUAUACAAAACAGCUAAAAAUUUUAGGUGACUUGACGUCAACUUUUGUAAAUAGUUCACUGUGACAGUGUUGUAAGUGAAUGUUAUUUUUAUAGAUAUGUGCAUAUGAUAGAUAUCAAAUGUGGCUCGUCAGUUAUGUUAUUGUGAACAUUUGUAUGUAAACUUUUGUAAUGUGUACAUAGAUAUCAGUUGUACUUCUUUUGUAACCAUCUACUCUUCAUUCUUUAUUUAGAUUUAUUUUUCUCAUCACUGGACCCCAGUAUUGUGUUGUUUUACAUCAGUGAGAAAGAAGUGAAGAAAAAAUUAAGGUUAUUCAGAUUUCUAAUCCAGUUUAGUGAUAAAUUGGGAAUUAUGUUUAAAAAAUAUGCUUCUUUGAUUUUACACAAGCAGGAGUCAUCCAAUUUAUAAUGUUUGGUUUCAAAACUGCGGCCAAUUGUUGAGAUGUAUUUCAGUAUGGUCAUUCUUAAAACAAGUGCGUCAGGUUAACAAAUAUAUCUGAGAAGAAACUUUAUUUGGUAAAUAAGAAAUAGUUUGCCUGAGGUUAAAUUUUUACUGUGUGUUUCAUCUAUUAUCAUCACUGAAAGCUAUCUCAUUUAAAUUGAGCCCUUCAUUUCAGUUGGCGUUUUAUUUUAUACGGAGUGAUAAAAUAAUGUGUAUCACAUACAGAACUCCUUAUAUCUGUUUUCUUCUACAAAAGAUGCCAUUUUCUUACUGUUACCUGCCGUCAUUAGAAUGUUGCAUUUGAAAGUUUCAUCAAAGAAGUUUGGGUACCAGCGAGUAUUUGAUAUUAGUUUUAUCAUACAUAUAUAUUACAUAUAUAUAUAGCCCAUUUUACGGGAGUUUCCUUGGACAGCCAGUACUGGCCACAUGUAUAUACUACAAAGUUUUGAUAUGAAAGAUAACUCGGGAAAGACUGA
Molecule: unclassified non-coding RNA, 3455 nt
Filed under: Lingula anatina
Lineage: Eukaryota; Metazoa; Brachiopoda; Lingulata; Lingulida; Lingulidae
Description: gA-binding protein alpha chain, transcript variant X2
Source: RNAcentral